AGAGGGUCAUAAUGAGGUCGUUUCCGCCUGAGGAAAAAUCUGGGGGCGGGGCUUCCGGCCUUCUUUUCGCUCGCGGCUGUUCUGACUCGUCUGGGUCUCCCUGACUCCGAAACGCUGGCUCUGGGCCGAGCGACUGUCCUGUUAGGUCUCCCGUGAGAAGGGCAUUUCCCAGGCAGGACUCCUAGGGCAGAUCCAUCGUUCAUGAAGAGCCACCCCUGUGAAAUGUGUGGCCUCACAGACAAUUGGCACUUGGAUGAGCAGCAGCCAACACAUGACAGGCAGAAACUGCACAGAUUUGUAGAAAUGGAA
RNAcentral lists this long non-coding RNA (309 nucleotides) under Sus scrofa (pig). Its description in RNAcentral is "lncRNA (ENSSSCG00070029723.1)". Lineage: Eukaryota; Metazoa; Chordata; Mammalia; Artiodactyla; Suidae. The record is from RNAcentral.